Transfer RNA from Bipolaris zeicola 26-R-13, 71 nucleotides. It matches the Rfam family "tRNA". Rfam says of the family: Transfer RNA (tRNA) molecules are approximately 80 nucleotides in length. Their secondary structure includes four short double-helical elements and three loops (D, anti-codon, and T loops). Lineage: Eukaryota; Fungi; Ascomycota; Dothideomycetes; Pleosporales; Pleosporaceae. The record is from Rfam.
GCAUCGUUGGUCCAGCGGUAGGAUAAUUGCUUCCCAAGCAAUUGGCUCGGGUUCGACUCCCGGACGACGCA